This is an RNA transcript of Gambusia affinis (western mosquitofish), 4684 nucleotides long. It is a transcript of the gene named heterogeneous nuclear ribonucleoprotein A1b, with no coding region annotated. The transcript is spliced from 12 exons. The record is from RefSeq and is a predicted model, not a curated record. Lineage: Eukaryota; Metazoa; Chordata; Actinopteri; Cyprinodontiformes; Poeciliidae.
GUAAAAAAGGCGUAACUUUCCCUAUUUAUUGUACUAUCCAGGAGGAGUUUGAUCUCGCCUGACGCAGAUUUCUGCUCUGCGGUUGUUUUACCAGGAGUCUUCAAGGAUAAACCUGCAAGAUGUCGAAAGACGUCCCACGUGAGCCGGAGCAGCUCCGCAAGCUGUUCAUUGGAGGCCUGAGCUUUGAGACAACAGAUGAGAGCCUGCGGGCUCACUUUGAACAAUGGGGGUCCCUUACAGACUGUGUGGUCAUGAGAGACCCCAACAGCAAGAGGUCCAGGGGUUUCGGCUUUGUUACAUAUUCAUCAGUACAGGAAGUUGAUGCGGCCAUGGCUGCCCGUCCCCACAAAGUGGACGGAAGGGUUGUGGAGCCUAAGCGUGCAGUUUCUAGAGAGGACUCAAACCGUCCAGGUGCUCAUGUAACGGUCAAGAAAAUCUUUGUUGGAGGCAUCAAAGAAGACACAGAGGAGUCACACCUUAGGGAUUACUUCCAGCAGUUUGGCAAAAUUGAGGUCAUUGAUAUCAUGACCGACCGCAACACUGGAAAGAAGAGGGGUUUUGCUUUUGUCACGUUUGAUGACCAUGAUUCAGUGGAUAGGAUCGUCAUUCAGAAAUAUCACACAAUCAACUCUCACAACUGUGAAGUGAGGAAGGCCCUCACCAAGCAGGAAAUGCAGAGUGUAGGAAUGGGAAUGAGAGGAGGGCGUAACAGUGGUGGGAGGCCAUAUGAUUAUGACAGAGGCUUCAACCAGGGAGGCAGAGGCCGAUAUGGAGAUGGUCCUAAUAACUGGAACGAUGGUGGCCUUCUAACGAGCCAUCAGCCAUCAUCUGAUACAGGUUACGGAGGCGGUCCUGGUGGUCCUGGCGGCUAUAACAACGGCGGCAACAGAGGUUAUAACCAGGGCUAUAACCAGGGUGGUGGUGGAGGUGGCGGCGGAGGCUACGGUGGAAACAGCUAUGACAGCAAUGGUUAUGGUAACUGUGGAGGAGGUGGUGGCGGCGGUGGGAGCAACUACAACAACAUGGGCCAUUAUGACCCCCAGGCCUCUAACUUUGGCCCAAUGAAGAACAACUUUGGCGGUGGCGGCGGCGGCGGCGGUGGCGGCAGGAGCUUUGGUGGCUACGGAGGUGGCUCUAACAAUCCCGGUGGCUAUGGCCGCCCAGGACGAUUUUAAAAUAAGUGAAAACUUUAUGGUCCCUGAAAUGUGACUUCAUUUCCAUGACAAUGACUCACAGGUUAACUGGACAGUUGUGCAAUGCAGAAGUGUUUUAACUUCAUUGAAGAGUGGAGUGCAGAUUUUAUUUUUUUUUUUACAUCUCUUUUUUUUUUUUUUAAUAAAUUUUUAUACAUUUUAAAUGAUUUGGUUUUAGUCAUUUUUUUUUAAGGAGCAGAAAAUGUUUACAGUUACGUUUGGCAAGUUUACUCAAACUGUUGCAAAACUCACAAGCAAGUCGUUUAGUCCACUUGCUGGACUGAAAUAGUUUAACAUUGGUCUCUCUUAUCCAUUGAAUGAGGUACCAAAUAAAUACUUCCAUCAGGAGUUUGUUGUAAAGAAUAUUCAUCUAUGGAGUAAGGCUGGCCGUCUUCAUCUCGUAAAUGAGAGAAAACGUCCUUGUAGAGGUCUGUGAGUCGGCAUUUGAUGAAAGUCAAGCUACGUUGGAACUCCAGCCGCUCCUGUGCCAGAUGUUCUCUUUGGGCUUGCAGGUGGUUCAGCUCUCUCUCCAAGUGAACAAUGCUCUCCAGCUUCCUCUUCCUGCAGUUCUGUGCCGCCACCUUGUUCUUUCCUCUGCGCCUAAUGUCUCUGACCAGUGCGAGUUGAGUGUCUGUCAAAGUGUACUGUGUCAAGAGCUCAUUGAAGUCAUCCACAGGGAGAUUGAUGAUCUUAUCCAAGGGGAAGGGAAUCUUCAGAGCCACAGCCUUGCGCUCAUCUCUGCUCAGAGGAACAGGAGUGGAGCUGCUGCCUUGUGACUUUGUGUGCAUGCUGUAUGAGCUCCCUCUGCUGGUCACUGUUGCAUUGCCGUAUAGAUCAGCGGUAACGGGCUGUUUCAGAGGUCGAGGAUUCGUAGAACAAGUUUGUGAAUGAGAGUAAUUGGGUUGAGGUGAAAAGUAAGGUGCGUGUCCACCUGAGUGUAGAUAUGGGAGAGUUUGACUCUGAUAGUCCAUUGGAUAAUGCAUGUGGCCUCUUCUGCCAUGCUCAGUCAUGCUUUCUGGUUCACAUUCACUAUAUUGUGUUCCCAUAUCAAUAUUUUGGUAACCUGGUCCACCUCCGACUGGAUUGUCUGGAGAAGCCAAAGGUGGGCUGGAUCCCAGUGAGAGACCUGAAUCUGAUUCCAGAUCAUCCCCAGAGCGAACAUGGGCGUUUUGCCCCAGCGUAGUCCACAGCAUGUGUCGACUUAAACCCUGAGAGAUGUUGUUGUUUGGCCUUCUAUGACCCUGAGCGGUACCUGCCAUGUUUAUAAGAGACGGCUGAGCGUGGGGCGAGAUGGGAAGCAUUCUGUGAGGCAGCUGUGAAUCUACAUUUCCAUACGCCGCAUCUGUGUUGUUGUUGAGACGUUGGCAGGCAGGAACUUCUUCAGAGUAACAUCCCUCGUAAGUGUCAGCAGUGCUCAGCUCACAGGCGGCAGCAGGAGGAGGUUCUGAAUGGGACUGAGUCAUCCCAAACUCUCCAGCGGGGGCCAUAGGCUGCAUGGAUUGAUAAUGUGCAGCUUGGUAGGAGUUUCCACUUUGGACUUCGAAUUCCUGUAAUAAAAGAGCAGAGUUAUUAAAGGCAAGCAGAACUACGCAGUUUUCACCCUCGGCUAUACAAUCCUGCCUGUUCUAUAAAAUAAUGUAUAACGUUUUAUUGUAUCUCAUCAGCAAGAUGAUUUAAUAGUUUCAUUUUGGAAAUAUGUCAAAUUGUCACCUUAUUUGAGGAUGUAUCAAUUACCAUAUGAAGUUCUAUAGAAAAAUGUUAACAUAGUAUUUUUGAAAAUUGUUAAAAGGAAUUAUUUAGUGACACAUUGGCCCUUUAAAUUAUGCUGUGAUUUCAGAUGACAACACAUUUUCUUAAACAUGAUAAAUAUUAUCCACGCACAUACCUAAAAUUGCAUCCUCUCGAAAUUUCAUGAAAUUUGUAAUACAAGUUCAAUUUUGUUUUUUUCUUUUCUUUUUUGAAGAAAGUUGUAAGCUGCAGGAUCACAACUCUAAACUAUGUAGCUUCUUUCAAGUGACUCGGCGCUUUCUGGUUUGCUUUCCUCUCCGAUGACUGUUUCAUCUAAAUGUUUUCAUUUCUUGUAUUUGGAGACCUUUAUCAUAAAAUUUAUGGAGCAUUUCUAAGAAUUUUUGAAAAUAUCCUCAUCUGUAUUAUUUAUUUAUGUUUUUAUUAUUAUUUUUUUUUAAUCACGUAGAACUUUAUUCAUAAACAUUCCUACAAAUGCACCAACCUUUAUCAAUAAAAUAUUUUUAAUUAGAGAUUAGAUUUAUAAAGUGUUUUAAACAUUUGAUAAAAUGCAUGACAUUUCUAACUUUAAUCAUAUCUCGAUGUCAUUUUCAAUAAUUGAAUUGUUGCCUUGCAGGGAAAAGGUCCUCUGUUUAAAUCAUGACCUGGGUCCGUCCCAGAUAAGUUUUGUAUGCUCUCUACAUGCAUGUGUGGGUUCUCGGGCCUCUUCAUGGUCCAGGUAUAUGCAUCAAAAGUUCGCCUGUCGUCUAAAAUGCCACUAAGUGCUAACAUGACAAGGCAGGCACCAGUGCACUUUCUCACGCACAUCAUCUAACUUCAUCAAAUAUUACUUCUUAUUAUGUUUUUAGCAAGUGAUAAAAAUAUGUAUGUAUUUUCUUUACAACAAACUCCUGAUGGAAGUAUUUAUUUGGUACCUCAUUCAAUGGAUAAGAGAGACCAAUGUAAUUCUUUGUGGCUUUCAACAGUGUUUUAGGCAACUCACUUUGGGGAAAAGACUCUAGCAGUUGUCACAUUUAAAAUACACGCUGUAGGAUUUAAGGCUCUGGUUGCUGUGAUGCUUUGCAAAUAACAUUUCUACAAGCUGCACUUCCCUUUUUACUUUGCGUAUGUAACUGUUGUCUUACGUUGUUUUUCUGAUUAUUUCUUUUAAAACGACAAAAACCCUGACUGAUUUUCACAAAAAUUGCGUUUAUUUUGUUCUAGUUGUUGACAAAGUUAAGACAUUUUGUCAUAAUUUAUUAAUUUGUUGAGCAAAUAUAUAUCAUAUUAGUUAAAACAAGUAUAUAAAAAAUACAUAUUUACAUAUUUAAUUGAUAAUGGUUAUGUCAAUGGCAAGUAAGGUAUAAAAAAAUGUAAGGAAUUUAUGGUACAAAACCGCUUAGUUUUUUAUUUUUUAUUAUUGAAUUUGACUUUGUACAUGUAGAAAAACGCUUUCUUUUGCAUGCUCAUUGUGUUCCGCUUCAACUACUAAAUACUUCUUUAAUCUUUCCGAGGCGGCCCAUUUGCUCACAGAUCUGUAAUAUUGGUACAGAUCAGAAUUUUUAUUUGUCGAAAGAGAAAACUAAGAAAAAAACUAACCAUUUCACUUACUUUUAAUUAACACUUUGUUGUGCCCUCUUGUCACAAAAGUAAAAAUAAAACUGCACAGCAAAAAAAAAAAAAAAAAAGCUAAUUUUUAUACCACAUGUUAGAAGGUAGAAAAAUCACCAUGUUUGUUUGUUAUUAAAAGAUUACUAAAGAACACA